Molecule: long non-coding RNA, 985 nt
Organism: Lolium rigidum
Lineage: Eukaryota; Viridiplantae; Streptophyta; Magnoliopsida; Poales; Poaceae
Exons: 3
Source: RefSeq, a predicted model, not a curated record
CUCUGCCGGCGUCGGGACCGGCCCCCCAUGGUUCCCCUCCGUCGGCGCUAGCACCAGCUCCCCCAUCGUUCCCCUCCGACACCGUCAUCCUCCUCCCGACUCCCUAGGAACAAGUGACGCCGGCAAGGACGCUCCGCUCGUGCGGAUUGGCUGUGUCACAAGCCUCCUCGAGCGGCCCAAGUGCGGCAUGCUGUGUCGAAGCCCCUCUCCACCUCGCUCAGGACUGUUUCAGCAGUUAGACCAUAGCUCGUACAGAUGACACAUUUAAGAACUGGCAGUGGCACAUGAGAAUAUCACACAUUGGAAGCCACAGAUCAACAAAAAGAGUCGAUUAUGAAAUACCUUCAGUUAAAGUGGUGAAAUGUGAUUGUCUAUUUGCAGCACGCCGAGGGUUGGUAUCUCCAGGAUCUAUUAACCAGUUUGGAUAUGUAAUACAAAUGAGGAAAAUGAGGUUGUAUUAGGCGUAUGAACUGUAUUCUUUGGUACGAAACCUGAAUUUUCGUUUUGCAUCUUGUGCGUGCAAUCGUGGUCUGGACCUGGCGAUGCAGUGUUGUCGCGGCAGGGAGGCGUGGAGGAUUGGAGGCUCGCGUGGUGGCCGACGGCUGCUUGUGCGGAUCGAUGUCCAGCAGGAUGCCGAGGAUUGGAGGCUGGCGUGGUGGAUGAUCUCCUGCAGGAUGGCUGCGUGCGUCGACGAUGUCCAGCAGGAUGCAGAGGAUCGGAGGCUGGCGUGGUAGACGGCAGGACGGCAGGACGGCAGGGUGUGGCGUUGGGCCGUCGGGUUAUGAGGAUCUGGGGCAGACAGACAGCGGCGUGGGAGGAUGGCCUGGUGUUUGAGGUAGGAGAUAUGGGGAAGUUAUUUUUUCCCUUAAUUUGUGGCUGAAUUUUAGCCUUACGGGUGGGAGAAUUGAUCUCACGGGGUGGGGAGAUGGAACAAAUCUGGAUUGUUAGAUUAAUAUGCACGGAUGGCUGAGAUGUAUUUUUCCAA